Molecule: ribosomal RNA, 327 nt
Filed under: Lentilactobacillus parabuchneri
Lineage: Bacteria; Bacillati; Bacillota; Bacilli; Lactobacillales; Lactobacillaceae
Description: bacterial SSU rRNA
Rfam family: Bacterial small subunit ribosomal RNA
Source: RNAcentral
CCGACGCUGGCGGCGUGCCUAAUACAUGCAAGUCGAACGCGUCUUGGUUAUUGAUGUUAGAUGCUUGCAUUUAACUGAUUUAACAUUGAGACGAGUGGCGAACUGGUGAGUAACACGUGGGUAACCUGCCCUUGAAGUAGGGGAUAACACUUGGAAACAGGUGCUAAUACCGUAUAACAACCAAAACCACCUGGUUUUGGUUUAAAAGAUGGCUUCGGCUAUCACUUUAGGAUGGACCCGCGGCGUAUUAGCUUGUUGGUAAGGUAACGGCCUACCAAGGCAAUGAUACGUAGCCGAUCCUGAGAGGGUAAUACGGCCACAUUGGGA